Solanum dulcamara is the source of this 3511-nucleotide long non-coding RNA. RefSeq lists it as uncharacterized. The transcript has 4 exons. Lineage: Eukaryota; Viridiplantae; Streptophyta; Magnoliopsida; Solanales; Solanaceae. The record is from RefSeq and is a predicted model, not a curated record.
UCGAAGCCCAUUAUUCCACUUUCACUCUAAUCUGACGGAAAAGCCCUAGCCUAAUUUCUUGGCAAAUCAGACGUGAAAUUGUGAAGAUUUGUGGUCGAAGCUCUCAUCUUUUGGAUGUUUUCUUGUUGUUCUUCCUCUAUUUAGUCCGGAUAUGUUCGAUUUUUCCCUUUUGAAAGUUUAUUUUUGAUAGAAGGUGUAAAGUUUUUGUCAUCAUGAAUGUAACAUCCCUUUUUUUUUACAGCUUCAGCCAUAUAUGGUUCAUAUUAUAGCUAUUUUCCACCAUGAAGGUCGUUUUUAUAAGGAUCACUAUAUUUCGAAAUUGGAAAAUUGUGUAUUUUGCAUAGACAAGGACCACUUCUCUUUGAUCGAACUGAAAUCUUAUGCAAAAGAUAUUGGGUAUGAUGAAGUUGAAGAUUUUUAUACCGAAAAUUCUAUUACCCAUAGAUUUGUCAAGUUAGAAAGUGACAGCCAACUAUAUAAUUUUGUUAAAGAUUUGUGGAGUGGGUCGUCUUUUAAGAUAUUCUUGUAACAUGUGACUGUUAAAGAGGGGGGGGGGGGACAACUUCUUUGGGACUAUAUUCUUGUGAAAAAACUAAUGAAGAAAUAUCUAGGGUUUCACAUCUUGAGGAUGAUAUAAAUAUAAAUGAGGUAGGUGGAGUUGAAGAACUUUCUGAGGAAGAAGAAAAUAGUGAUUCUGUUGACUUUGGAAAGGAAGACUUAGAUGAUCUUCCAGAUGAGGAUGAUAGUGAACUUGAUGAAAAAUUGAGAGUUGUUAGAGAAAAACUUAGAGAAGAAAAAAGAAGUGAAGCUGGAAAGGGAAAAAAGAGAUCUAAAAGAACUUCGAAACAACAAUAAGUCGAGCUUGGAGAAGCUGGUAUAGAUAAGGGAUUUGAGAAUAUUGUCAACAAGAAGGCAGCCAAGUGUAAUGGUAGAUUGGGAGGUGAUGAAGAUUUUAUUGAUUCAUCAGAUGAACCAAGUGAAGAUAGUGGUAAAGAACUUGAUGUGUUAGCACAAUCAGGUGUGGAUUUACCUUCAAGAAGAAAAAGCAAUAAAUUGAGGUAUGAUUCUUCUUGUUCCAUUUAUUUCUUUGAAUUGGGUAUGAUAUUUGAGGGUGCAAAUCAAUUUAGAAAGGUUGUUGCUGAUUAUGCUAUUCAACAUAAAGUUCAAUUAAAGAUUAAACCCAAUGAACUUCAUAGAAUAAGGGUGAGAUGUGUUGGAAAUUGUAAAGGAGAACUGUUUGCAAGCUUAGAUAAAGAUACAGAAAAUUUUAAUUGUGAAAAAAAUACUAUCCUGCUCAUAGAUGUCUUACAAAGAACAUGAACAAAUUGUGCUCAACAAAGUAUGUAGAAAUGAAGAUGAGGGAUAGAAUAAUAUCUCAUCUUGACAUUAGGGUUUAUAAGCUUCAAGAAACAAUUAGAAAAGAAUGGGGACUAAAAUUGGGAUGAUCAAUAUGUUAUAGAGCAAAACAAAAUGUUAUUUCCAAGUUUAUGGGGGGUUGGAAGCUUGAGUUUUCAAAGUUGUUAGACUAUGCUGAUAUGAUCAAGAGUUCAAAUUUUGGAACUUCUUGUUGGGUGAGAACUGAUAAUGACACAGUUCCUGGAAAACACUUGUUUUAAUAUUUCUAUGUGUUCUUUGCUGCAUUGAAGAGUGGCUGGUUAGAAGGUUGUAGGUAGGGCUGGAUGGCUGUUUCCUGAAGGGUGCUUGUAGAGGAGAAUUAUUGGUGGAUGUUGGAAAAAAUGAAAACUAACAAAUGUAUCCAAUAGCUUGGGCAGUGGUUGAUCAAGAAACUAUACACUCUUGGAGUUGGUUCUUAAGCUAUCUUAUUCAAGAUUUGCAACUUGGUGAUGGAAAUGGCAUAACAAUCAUGUUUGACAUGCAAAAGGGUCUUGAGUCAGCUGUUGCUGACUUUCUUCUUAAUGCUGAAAGAAGAAUGUGUGCAAGACACAUUUGGGCAAACUGGCAAAAGAAAUGAAGAGGUGAAAAAAGGAGAAAAGCAUUUUGGAGAUGUGCCAAAGCUAGUUUUGAGGUAACAUUAAAAGAUGAGGUGGCAUAUAUGAAAAAUCUUGGUAAGAAAAUAUGUGAGUCAUUGCUUGUUUAUAACAGAGAAUAUUGGUGUAGGGCUGUAUUUAGUGAAAGAUUCAAGUAUGAUGUAGUGAAAAAUAAUGUGUGAAACAUUUAAUUCAUGGAUUGUUGGUCCUAGACACAAAUCUAUGAUUAGUAUGCUUGAAGAUAUUAGGCACAAAAUGAUGGAUAGGCAUAGAUAUAUGAUUAAGUUUGCAGAUACUUGAAUUAGUAAUAUUUCACCCAUGGCAAGACUAGUUUUAGAAGAAAAUAAAGAAAUUGGUAGGAAUCUAAAGGUGAAUUGAAAUCAUGACAUUGGAUUUGAGAUCCAAGAAGGAGAAUAUAGACACAUAAUUGACAUGGUUAACAAGACAUGUAGUUGCAGGUUGUGGCAAUUGAGAGGUAUUCCUUGCCAAUAUGUAGUUUGUGCUUUGUAUCACAUUGGGCAAGAAUCAGAAGAUUAUGUGGAGCAUUGGUACAAAAAAGAUACAUUCCUACAUGCUUAUAAGUACUUCUUACAACCUAUGUCUAAUAUGGCAAUGUGGCCUGAAACCAAUAACCCACCAAUUGAGCCUCCUGAAGUGAAGCUAAUGCCUGAAAUACCAACCAGAUGUAGAAGAAAAGACAAAGAUGAAUCAAGAAAAAAGAAGUGGGGAAAGCAUCAAAGAAUGGAGUGAAAAUGUCAUGUUCCAAAUGCCAUCAAGUUGGGCAUAACAAAAGAAGCUGUAAAUCAGUGCCUUCACAGUGCACUCGACAGCCUUUACAGCCCACUCAACAGUCUUCACAACAAUCAAUGAAUCAGUCAGACACUCAACAUUCCUCUUCUUUAUGUGCAGAAACCUCAAGUUAUAGGAAAUAAGAGGCAACAACUAAAUAGUGCUUCAACUGCAAAGGCUACAACUUCUUCGAUACACAAUUUGUAUCCUGGAAGACCAAGUGAAAGAGAUAUCUCACGUGGGUCUCAAGCAGCACAAACAAAUGUUGACCUUGGACUCAAGCCACCUGGUUUGAAAUGGAAAGGAAAAAAUGUUCUGAUUGAAAACCAACUUCAACUAAUGUCACAGCAAAAAAAUUGCAAAUCAAAUCCAACCGGGUUCCUUAAGAGUUCAAUUGUUAGUGAUGUGGCUUCAUGGUGAAAAAUAAUGUUGAUCGUAUUUUUGCGUAUUUUGAUCUAUAUUUUGUAAAGCAUACUUCAAUCGCUGAUCAUUAUGAUGUAUUUUGAAUUAUUUUGAUGUAUGUUUGCCUUUAAACAAGUCUUUAGAUGUCAUUGUAGUUCCUGUAAAGUUUAUGUAUGUUAAGUUGACGCUUUGUAAAGCUAGUUUACCAUGUGGGUAUGGGAUUUUUGUAUGUGCAAAAUGUGAUGCUUAGUGCCUAUAUUGAAGUAAUGAAAUUGUAAAGUGAUGAAACAUAUGUUCCAAAUUAAAGCUAAAGAUAUUGUUCUCGUACUAAA